RNAcentral lists this ribosomal RNA (274 nucleotides) under uncultured bacterium. RNAcentral describes it as "partial 16S ribosomal RNA". It matches the Rfam family "Bacterial small subunit ribosomal RNA", at positions 523 to 796 of the family's 1533-position model. The record is from RNAcentral.
AUACGGAGGGUGUAAGCGUUACUCGGAAUCACUGGGCGUAAAGCGCGCGCAGGCGGUCUUUUAAGUUGGAUGUGAAAGCCUACGGCUCAACCGUAGAACUGCAUCCAAAACUAUUAGACUAGAGUGUGGGAGAGGAAGAUGGAAUUAGUUGUGUAGGGGUAAAAUCCGUAGAGAUAACUAGGAAUACCAAAAGCGAAGGCAAUCUUCUGGAACACUACUGACGCUGAGGCGCGAAAGCGUGGGGAGCAAACAGGAUUAGAAACCCUAGUAGUCC